ACCCGCUGAACUUAAGCAUAUCAAUAAGCGGAGGAAAAGAAACUAACAAGGAUUCCCCUAGUAACGGCGAGUGAAGCGGGAACAGCUCAAAUUUGAAACCUGGCGUCCUUCGGGCGUCCGGAUUGUAUUCUAGAGAAGCGUCUUCCACGCUGGUCCAUGUAUAAGUGCCCUGGAACGGGCUGUCAUAGAGGGUGAGAAUCCCGUCCUUGACAUGGGCUACCAGUGUUUUUGUGAUGCGCUUUCUAAGAGUCGAGUUGUUUGGGAAUGCAGCUCAAAGUGGGUGGUAAAUUCCAUCUAAAGCUAAAUAUUGGCCUGAGACCGAUAGCGAACAAGUACCGUGAGGGAAAGAUGAAAAGCACUUUGAAAAGAGAGUCAAACAGUACGUGAAAUUGCUGAAAGGGAAACGCUUGAAGUCAGUCGCGCCCCCUGGAAUUCAGCCCUGCUUUUGUAGGGUGUACUUUCCAGGGGGCGGGCCAACAUCAGUUUUGACCGGCAGAUAAAGGCCGGGGGAAUGUGGCUCCUUUCGGAGUGUUAUAGCCCCCAGUCACAUAUGCCGGUUGGGACUGAGGAUCGUAGCGCGCCCUUGUGGCAGGCCUUCGGGCACUUUCGCGCUUAGGAUGUUGGCAUAAUGGCUUUAAGCGACCCGUCUUGAAACACGG
Molecule: ribosomal RNA, 659 nt
Filed under: uncultured fungus
Lineage: Eukaryota; Fungi
Description: LSU rRNA
Rfam family: Eukaryotic large subunit ribosomal RNA
Source: RNAcentral